RNAcentral lists this ribosomal RNA (497 nucleotides) under uncultured bacterium. RNAcentral describes it as "partial 16S ribosomal RNA". It matches the Rfam family "Bacterial small subunit ribosomal RNA", at positions 28 to 507 of the family's 1533-position model. The record is from RNAcentral.
GAUGAACGCUGGCGGCGUGCCUAAUACAUGCAAGUCGAGCGGACGGACGAGAAGCUUGCUUCUCUGAUGUUAGCGGCGGACGGGUGAGUAACACGUGGAUAACCUACCUAUAAUACUGGGAUAACUUCGGGAAACCGGAGCUAAUACCGGAUAAUAUUUUGAACCGCAUGGUUCAAAAGUGAAAGACGGUCUUGCUGUCACUUAUAGAUGGAUCCGCGCUGCAUUAGAUAGUUGGUAAGGUAACGGCUUACCAAGGCAACGAUGCAUAGCCGAACUGAGAGGCUGAUCGGCCACACUGGAACUGAGACACCGUCAAGACUACUACGGGAGGCAGCAGUCGGGAAUGUGACGCAAUGGGCGAAAGUCUGACGGAGCAACGCCGAGUGAGUGACGAAGGCCUUCGGAUCGUAAAACUCUGUUAUUAGGGAAGAACCUCUGUGUAAGUAAAUGUGCCCAUCUUGACGGUACCUAAUCAGAAAGCAACGGCUAACUACGUG